RNAcentral lists this ribosomal RNA (253 nucleotides) under uncultured bacterium. Its description in RNAcentral is "partial 16S ribosomal RNA". It matches the Rfam family "Bacterial small subunit ribosomal RNA", at positions 524 to 776 of the family's 1533-position model. The record is from RNAcentral.
UACGAAGGGGGCUAGCGUUGUUCGGAAUCACUGGGCUUAAAGGGCGCGUAGGCGGGCUGUCCAGUCUGGGGUGAAAUCCCGCGGCUCAACCGUGGAACUGCCUCAGAUACUGACGGCCUCGAGGGAGAUAGGGGCAUGCGGAACUGUAGGUGGAGCGGUGAAAUGCGUUGAUAUCUACAGGAACUCCGGUGGCGAAGGCGGCGUGCUGGAUCUCUUCUGACGCUGAGGCGCGAAAGCUAGGGGAGCAAACGGG